CUUUUUUACAAUUGCCCUUAGCAACUUGUUGAACACAUCAGCACCUGUUGCUAUUGUUCAAGCUCAUUGAGUUUAUUACUUAAGUCAAUGGAAAAAGUAGAUAAAUGAAAUUGGUCGAUACAUCGCACAAUUGCUAGUGUACCCGCACACAAAAUUCCCAAUCGAGCGCGAUCAACAACUGCGUGAUUGCGUUGAUCCUCGCCAGAUGUCUCAGCGAUGCACAUAAUCUAGCUGAGACUCCGAAACAGACAAGCAGCCUCGAUCUGUGAUCAUCGUCAUCGUCAUCAUCAUCAUCAUCAGUUUUGCAGCAGCAUCAUUAGUGCAGUACAGUGCUGAAUACACACAAAUAACGAGCAAUAAUAAUCUCUUCCUCUCCCCGUUGAACACAUACAUUUCCCACUCUUUCUUUCUAACAGAUACAUUGUAACAUUUGUUCUCGCCGUACGUGCGCUCUGGCUUAUGUGAACUGCUGCUCUGCUCAUCGACACCGAAAAAAAACCCGUCCAUAUCAACGUCGUCGUAGUUAUUUCACGUAGAAACGUCAUCAGACUUCUUCGUUUUAUUCUGCUAUCUGUGGGGCAAACAAGUGGAAUUUUUAUGUUAGCUUCGUUAACCGUAUGACAAUUCUGUUAAAAGAAGAGGAUUAAUUGUAUCAUUUGGUGCUGGGCCAAGCUGUGCGAUUGGGCAAUCUCGAUAGGCAGCAGCAGCGGCGCAAAGACGCAUCAGCGGUUGUUGCAUCGACUCGAGAAGCCAAGGAGCCCUAGGAAUUCGACGUGACAACAGCGCGUAGUCGAGCUGUGCGCGGUAGAUAAGAGCUCCGCGCUAUACAUGGUCUUUUCCUCUUCGGCUCCGAUACACACAGCGGAACAUUCGGCUGAUUACGACUCGAGGCGUUUCAUUUCUCUCUCGCUUACUUUUCUUCCAUAGCGAGAUCUCGUGUGCGUGUUUUCGUCGCGCUGUGAUCGGGGUUAGGUGCCGCUGCCGCAGCCGCUGCUGCAGGAGCUUCGAAGCAAAGAUCGGCGUGCGUUGCGGCCUCGGCAUUGUCGUCAUUGCUCUCUUUCUCUCUCUCUCUCUCUCUACGAAACGAGAAGCGAGAAGCGAGUCAAGUGAUUUCAAUUGAAAGCGACUCUGGUCGGAGCUCGUAGCACUGAUUGGUCAGGUCUGCGCGCAUUUGUGCGUUUGUGCGAGGCCCAAGAAGCUCGCUCGGCUCGGACUUGCAGCUAAUAAAGCCUCGCGCGCGCUCCCUUCCCCGCACUUUUGAUUGCUCGCGAUCCCGCGCGCUCGCCUUGUCAUCUUGGCCAGACACAGCAGCAUCAGUGCUGCCCACGUCGCCGCGAUCGGAGUUACAGAUCCCCGAGCAGAUAGAUACAUACAUAUAUUUUAUAUAUUCAAUAUAUAGCAAGCUCCCGUCGCUCUUGAACUUGAUCAGGAGACGAGCCGAUAGAUUAGGUUUUCCUCUCUCUCUCCCUCGCUUCAUUGGUCGUUUAGUCAUUUUCGUAAAAUCGUCACUCGAGUUUUUCUCGCUCGCUCGCUCGCUCCUCCAACUCGGCGCGACUCGCCUGUUUCUCUAUCUAUCUAAUCUCUAUCGGGUUUCUCUUUCUCGUAUACAGACGUAUAUGCUCGUUAUAUAUACGUACAUUACAUUACGUACUCUAUCUCUCUCUAUCUCUCGCUCUCUGUUUUAAGCGAGCGCGUAGUAUAGUAAAACGUCCACGAGCGCCAACAGUCAGACUUAAGACACAGGAGAGCAGCUAUAUACUUACUUUGUACACGUGCAAACGAUCCGUUGCCGCCGCUUCUUCUCGUUCGGCAGUGGCCUACUCUCAACAGUACUGUCGUAGCGUCGCUAGUGGCCUUUUUUCCGGGGCUCUCUCUCUCUGCUCGUGCACCGCUGAUCAUCGCAGAUCAGCUUAUACGUUAACCGAGGCCCGCCGUUCGAGCUGAGCUUGCCUCGCUCCUAUCAUUUGAAUGGCCCAUCUCUACUGGUUGCUGCUUUUCGAAAGACGUUGACUUUCCACGUGUUGUUCGUUGCGAUUCCGAGCAACUCCCCGAUCGGUGGCCGCCUAUUCUCAGUGCAAAAGUUGUGUGGUGGUGGUGGUGGUGGUGGUGUUGUGGGGCUAGUCAGUGUCGUUUCCUUGCGAAUCCUCGGUGCGCUCCGAGCUCAUCCCGGUGGUCCCGGCAGUGCAUAUACGAGUGUGCGUGUGCCGUGUGCGUGUGCGCGCGCGCGCCUACUGCUCCGCCUUAACGCUUUCUCCGUUGCUCAUCGCGUUUUCCCACCCAUCUGCUUACCAUGAAACGCAGGAUCGUUAAAAUGUGGUGACGGGGAGUUCUGGGCUGAUGCCUGAAAACUGCAAGACACUAAUCAGUGUGUGAGCCGUGUAGUCCUUAGCUGAGCAUAUAUUAGUUCUCUCUCGAGAAGCGGGAGCUCGAUCUCCCUCUCGGAUUUCAUCGAGGUGUCUUCAGAUCCCUCGUGAGUCCACCGCACAGCUGCCAUUCGCACGUGGCAGCGUCGCCACUUUACUACUCUCUCGCUCUCGCCUCUCUACGGCCUCUCUCGCUCCGGUAAUCUCUCUCUCUCUCUCUCUGUCUCGAAUUCGAUCGAGCUUCAGCGCCUGCGUCAAUUUCGACUGAGAUCGACGAGGGAGAUUGUUUGGAAUCGGUGUCAACGAACUGGGAAAAGGCUCGUUCAUUGGGACCAGUUGGCGGUCUCGAUCGAAUUCUACCUCUGCCAGUCGGGAAAGCAUCCACCGGCCCUAUCCACGGGGGCACGAAUCUUGUACAGUCUGCCCAGCGGGGCUUGCCGAUCAUCAUCGCGACCAUCAUCGCUGCUCACUUUCAAGGGGAAAAAAUGCGCUGCAGUCAGGGCGUUGCAAUGGUGUUCGAGGACGCCUUCGUCGUCUUUUCCCGAUUUUUGGCGCUGAAAUCGCGUGGUUGCGCUCUCCUCGAAACACACCGACAACGUGAGACGA
Molecule: RNA transcript, 2969 nt
Organism: Trichogramma pretiosum
Lineage: Eukaryota; Metazoa; Arthropoda; Insecta; Hymenoptera; Trichogrammatidae
Gene name: probable inactive tRNA-specific adenosine deaminase-like protein 3
Exons: 3
Source: RefSeq, a predicted model, not a curated record